RNAcentral lists this ribosomal RNA (648 nucleotides) under Naganishia albidosimilis. Its description in RNAcentral is "LSU rRNA". It matches the Rfam family "Eukaryotic large subunit ribosomal RNA", at positions 44 to 696 of the family's 3401-position model. The record is from RNAcentral. Lineage: Eukaryota; Fungi; Basidiomycota; Tremellomycetes; Filobasidiales; Filobasidiaceae.
CAAUAAGCGGAGGAAAAGAAACUAACAAGGAUUCCCCUAGUAACGGCGAGUGAAGCGGGAAGAGCUCAAAUUUGAAAUCUGGUAGCCUUCGGUUGCCCGAGUUGUAAUCUAGAGAAAUGUUUUCCGUGCCGGCCCAUGUACAAGUCCCUUGGAACAGGGCGUCAUAGAGGGUGAGAAUCCCGUCCUUGACAUGGACCCCCGGUGCUUUGUGAUACAUUUUCAACGAGUCGAGUUGUUUGGGAAUGCAGCUCAAAAUGGGUGGUGAAUUCCAUCUAAAGCUAAAUAUUGGCGAGAGACCGAUAGCGAACAAGUACCGUGAGGGAAAGAUGAAAAGCACUUUGGAAAGAGAGUUAAACAGUACGUGAAAUUGUUGAAAGGGAAACGAUUGAAGUCAGUCAUGCUCUUUGGUAUUUAUAUCAUUGAGUGGGGUCAACAUCAGUUUUGAUCGAUGGAUAAAGGCACUAGGAAGGUAGCACUCUCGGGUGAACUUAUAGCCUAGCGUCAUAUACAUUGAUUGGGACUGAGGAACGCAGCAUGCCUUUAUGGCCGGGAUUCGUCCACGUACAUGCUUAGGAUGUUGACAUAAUGGCUUUAAACGACCCGUCUUGAAACACGGACCAAGGAGUCUAACAUAUCUGCGAGUAUUUG